Molecule: ribosomal RNA, 303 nt
Filed under: uncultured bacterium
Lineage: Bacteria
Description: partial 16S ribosomal RNA
Rfam family: Bacterial small subunit ribosomal RNA
Source: RNAcentral
AGCAGCCGCCACGGGAAUACAGAGGGUGCGAGCGUUAAUCGGAUUUACUGGGCGUAAAGCGUGCGUAGGCGGCUUCUUAAGUCGGAUGUGAAAUCCCUGAGCUUAACUUAGGAAUUGCAUUCGAUACUGGGAAGCUAGAGUAUGGGAGAGGAUGGUAGAAUUCCAGGUGUAGCAGUGAAAUGCGUAGAGAUCUGGAGGAAUACCGAUGGCGAAGGCAGCCAUCUGGCCUAAUACUGACGCUGAGGUACGAAAGCAUGGGGAGCAAACAGGAUUAGAUACCCCCGUAGUCCCUGUCUCUUAUAC